AUGCUCACUUCAGCAGCACAUGUACUAAAAUUAGAACGAUACAGAGAUUAGCAUGGCCCCUGUGCAAGGAUGACAUGCCAAUUCAUGAAGCAUUCCAUAUUUUU
Small nuclear RNA from Neomonachus schauinslandi (Hawaiian monk seal), 104 nucleotides. NCBI's taxonomy places the organism in Eukaryota, Metazoa, Chordata, Mammalia, Carnivora, Phocidae. The record is from RefSeq and is a predicted model, not a curated record.